GACGAAGGUGGCGAGCGUUACUCGGAAUUACUAGGCGUAAAGCGUGGGUAGGCGGCUCGGUAAGUCUGUUGUGAAAGCUCCCGGCUCAACCGGGAGAGGUCAAUGGAUACUGCCGGGCUUGAAUGUGGGAGAGGUCACUGGAAUUCCUGGUGUAGCGGUGAAAUGCGUAGAGAUCAGGAGGAACACCGAUGGCGAAAGCAGGUGACUGGACCACUAUUGACGCUGAGCCACGAAAGCUAGGGGAGCAAACAGG
This 253-nucleotide unclassified non-coding RNA is filed under the name uncultured Elusimicrobia bacterium. RNAcentral's name for it is "contains 16S-23S intergenic spacer region". It matches the Rfam family "Bacterial small subunit ribosomal RNA", at positions 524 to 776 of the family's 1533-position model. Lineage: Bacteria; Pseudomonadati; Elusimicrobiota; Elusimicrobia. The record is from RNAcentral.